This 465-nucleotide ribosomal RNA is filed under the name Vreelandella stevensii. RNAcentral's name for it is "partial 16S ribosomal RNA". It matches the Rfam family "Bacterial small subunit ribosomal RNA", at positions 338 to 795 of the family's 1533-position model. Lineage: Bacteria; Pseudomonadati; Pseudomonadota; Gammaproteobacteria; Oceanospirillales; Halomonadaceae. The record is from RNAcentral.
CCUACGGGAGGCAGCAGUGGGGAAUAUUGGACAAUGGGGGGAACCCUGAUCCAGCCAUGCCGCGUGUGUGAAGAAGGCCCUCGGGUUGUAAAGCACUUUCAGUGAGGAAGAACGCCUGGUGGUUAAUACCCAUCAGGAAAGACAUCACUCACAGAAGAAGCACCGGCUAACUCCGUGCCAGCAGCCGCGGUAAUACGGAGGGUGCGAGCGUUAAUCGGAAUUACUGGGCGUAAAGCGCGCGUAGGUGGCUUGAUAAGCCGGUUAUGAAAGCCCCGGGCUCAACCUGGGAACGGCAUCCGGAACUGUCAAGCUAGAGUGCAGGAGAGGAAGGUAGAAUUCCCGGUGUAGCGGUGAAAUGCGUAGAGAUCGGGAGGAAUACCAGUGGCGAAGGCGGCCUUCUGGACUGACACUGACACUGAGGUGCGAAAGCGUGGGUAGCAAACAGGAUUAGAUACCCUGGUAGUC